AGAGUUUGAUUAUGGCUCAGGAUGAACGCUGGCGGCGUGCCUAAUACAUGCAAGUCGUACGAGGGAAGUCCAGCUUGCUGGACGGAACGAGUGGCGAACGGGUGAGUAAUACGUAAGCAACCUGCCUGCAAGGACUGGGAUAACACCUGGAAACGGGCGCUAAUACCGGAUAGGUAACAAAGGGGCAUCCCUAUGUUAUUAAAGGUUAGAAACACAAGCAGAUGGGCUUACGGUGCAUUAGCUAGUUGGUGAGGUAACGGCCCACCAAGGCGAUGAUGCACAGCCGGCCUGAGAGGGUGAACGGCCACAUUGGGACUGAGACACGGCCCAGACUCCUACGGGAGGCAGCAGUAGGGAAUUUUCGGCAAUGGACGAAAGUCUGACCGAGCAACGCCGCGUGAAGUGAAGAAGGUUUUCGGAUUGUAAAGCUCUGUUGUAAGGGAAGAACAGCACGGAAAGAAUCCGUGAAUGACGGUACCUUACCAGAAAGCCACGGCUAACUACGUGCCAGCAGCAGC
RNAcentral lists this ribosomal RNA (518 nucleotides) under uncultured bacterium. Its description in RNAcentral is "bacterial SSU rRNA". It matches the Rfam family "Bacterial small subunit ribosomal RNA", at positions 8 to 518 of the family's 1533-position model. The record is from RNAcentral.